Gallus gallus (chicken) is the source of this 6341-nucleotide long non-coding RNA. RefSeq lists it as uncharacterized. The record is from RefSeq and is a predicted model, not a curated record. The transcript has 3 exons. NCBI's taxonomy places the organism in Eukaryota, Metazoa, Chordata, Aves, Galliformes, Phasianidae.
GGCUCCGCUCCCUCCGCCCGCCCGUUCAGCUCGUGGGUCUCGCCGCCGGAGUCCAUCUCGGCUCCCGGAGCGGAGCAGGAGAGGCCUCGGAGGCUGUUGCCGGCAGCCUCUGGGAACCCCUUUCGUAUCGGCUCCCCCGUCUGGCCGCGGUAGUGCAGCUCCCAGAAAAGGCAAUGGAACAGAUUGACCACUGAUGUCACUUCACAGAUACAGCAACCUCAUUGGCACGAAACUUCAGUUGUUUAUUUCUUUGGAUCAAUUUGCCCAUCUCCAGCUGUCUCGAAAUGCCUUCAGAAGAAUGGGAACAAUCAUUUCAGCAACAAUAGUACUGCGAAAUUAUAAAAUCUAAGACUGGUUACUAAUUAUCCUUGUCUGGAAUAGAAGAAAUUAUAGAAGCCAUUAAAAUGCAGAGGACAAGGAAAUAAAUGUGGAUGUCUCCCAGUUUAAAAUGCUCAAGAAAAAAGAAUGUAAUUCAAAAGAUGGGGCUUCUAUUUGCAGAUCUAGAAGAACGGAAAACCUAAAUAUUUCAGCUAAGACUAAGAAACCUAGGCAUGAUGUUGAUAGAACUUAGGGUAAUUAAAACCAACCACAAUGAAAAGAAACUUGGAGUACCUAAAAACAUCACAGCCAUAGAAUCAUGGAACAUCCUGAGUUGGAAGGGACCCAUAAGAAUCUUCAAAUCCAGCUCCUGACACCACCACCCAAAAAUCAGACUAUAUGACUGAGAGUGUUAUCCAGUCAUGUCCCAAAAUCAGGCAGCUCGGUGCCAUGGCCAUACCCAACCUGACCCUCCCUGUCACACAUCCAUGCUGUUCCCUUGGGUUCUGCCACUGGUCACCAGAGAGAGGAGAUCACUGUCAGGAUGAAAUUAAAGGAAGCUGAUCAGCGUGUGGUGGCCGCCAACUCAUAAACAGGUAAAAUAUGGAUAAUGGUUGAGAUAAGUAUUACUACAAACAUGACCACGUGAUAUUUGAGAUGAGAACCACACCCUCACCUGAAGGACAGCAUUCGAUUCUGUUGGCAGAAGGAAUUUGGAAAUAAUUUGCUUAGAAAAGCAGUGAAGAAAUGAGUCAGAAAAAUGGUAGGCAGGAAGAAUAGAAGGGAAUGUAUGAAUGUUUUUAGAGAAAUAAUGAGAAAUCUUGUACUUCUGCAUACUUUUAUUGCAAGAGCAAACAUUGUAAAUCAGGAGACAUAAAAUCCGAUCUGCUGGGAAGCAUUUCACUGAGGAGCUGCUUGUCUUGGGAUGCUGCCUUUUUUCUGGAUAAAUGCACUGAGCACUGGAGAAGAGGGAAAAAGCCCUCUAAAAAUUGUUUGCCCUGGUGUGAAUGAUUGUCAUCCUCAAAUUUAUGUCUUGAAUCUAGAGCAGGCCCUGGGGAACUGUAAAUAUCUGAAAGGCUUUCUAAGCACCAUAUGGUGGUUAUGAAAGGCUCUAACACAGGCCCAGUUCUGAGUCAGAAGAAUGGAAAUGAGGAGGGCUAAAUCUUGGAAAGCAGGGUGUUCGUGAUUAUGAAACCAAAAGUGGCAGACAGACUUAAGCCCUCUACACUUCAGCAACACUUGCUCUCUAUCUAUUUAUAAUUCAUUUUGCUAGAGGGGCAUUAUUCAAGUGAGAAAAUACUCUUCCGCUCCAGCUUGGGAGUGAAGGCACUGUUGUAAGAAAAGAAAAGCAAAUUGAGCUAUUUUAAGUGUCUGAAGAGGCACUGAAUCCAGCCAAGUACUUGCAAAAGGUUCUGCCUUUGCUGUUGCCUUGCUUCCCAUGCUGUGGGAGUGGUGCCUGUUAUCUAGCAUCUCCUUGAACAGGCAGCUCUGCAAAACCUGCGAUGUAUUGCUCUGAUAAAGCAAAGCCUGAUAUCAUGCAACUACCCACACGAGUGCUGCUAAGAUGUUUUGGGGUAUAUUGAUUAAAGCAGAGAAUUCUUUGGGGGCAUCUGUGUUGUGCCAGAGGAUUGCUUUCCCAGCGAUCUCCCUCUCCAAGCAGGACAGAACUGCCUUGCUGUAUGCCUCCCCAAUGGCAUUCCCACCUUCUUGUAUCCUUUCAUUGCUGCUCCAGCUCCAGCGGUCCCCUCAUAUGAGUGCUGUGGCAUUUGUGUUUAACUGCCCACAUCCCUCUGAGCAGGCCAGGACCUGCAAAGCAUCACUUAUUUGUUUGUGACAUUCCUCUGACAAGCUCGUGCCUGCUCCCCUAUUAGGGCACCGUGCUGCACCAUGAUGCGUGGCACAUGGCUGGGGACUGAGCAACACAGCUCUGCCUGCUCUGCUUGCUUCUUUCAGGCUGCUGAGGCGCGGGAGAGGGAGCCCAGGGCAGGGAGGAAAGGGGCUUAUUCCUUCUCACUGUUAUUUGAUAUGAUGAGAAAGAAUGGCCUCAAGUUGUGCCAGGGGAGGUUCAGGUUGAGUAUUAGGGAAAACUUCUCUGAAAGUGUGGUUGAGCAUUGGCGUGAGCUGCCCAGGGAGGUGCUGGAGCCACCGUCCCAGGAGCUGUUCAAGAAAUGUGGAGAUGUGGCACAGAGGGGACAUGAAUAGCAGGCAAUAUUUUGGUGGUAGGUGGAUGGUUGGACUAGAUGAUCUUACAGGUCUUCUCCAACCUUAAUGAUGCUAUGAUACUAUGAUAUAGCCAAAAAAAAAAAAAAGUAUUUGUCACACUGGAAAAAUGCAUAUCCAAGCAGAGGUGAUUUUCUUGCUGUGCGAGUCCCCCCUGUCUACUUCAUUAACUCCUUUGGUGCAAAUAAUCUUCAGGACAACCAGGUAUCUUUCAAUAGAUAACAGCGGAAUCUUUUCUUUUUCCAACAAUCCUUAUUUCGUAAUUAAUCCAAAGGGAUCCGUGCCUGAUAGCAAGGUUUGGCACCGGGUAGUUAAUCCUGAUGCAAAUACUGAGAGCUCAGCGAGAAUAGCCAGCUUCCAUGGGCAGGUUUCAGUGUGGAGAACAGGGGCACAUUUUUCUUUCCCUGUGGUGCAGAUCAGGGAUACCCAUCUCCUGAGCACAGAUACUGUUUCAAUUACUUACUGAAGUUGGACUGUAUUGUUAGCACUGGAAUAGCAUUUUAGAAAAUAAAAGUGCUUAAACAACAGAUCUUGAAGAAUUCCCCACUGAGGUAUUGUUUUACUGCCUUAUAUAGAGCAGAUCUGCCUCACAAAUGGAAUUGCCCAGGUUCAGCUGUAGCUGGGGAGUACACAAAAGGGAAGAAUUAGGAUUUUGUUUUAAAAAUUAAAAUAUAUAUAGUUUUAUAAUUGGUUUUCAUUAACAUUUUUAACAAAUAUCUACAAUAUUUAAAAAAUAAAAAAGUAAGUUGAGUUCAUCUAUACAACAGCUCAGUGGAAAUUUUGUGCAAAGUAUUCUAUUUUUCAAGUUCAUUCAAACUUGUAAUGAAAUGAACUAAAGAAUGUUCCAUGCCCUGUUGUCAAAGGCUGCCAAAAAUUAAUUACUGCGCCCCUCUGAUCUGCUGAUGUGUGACCUGAAAGCCCCAUGUUUUAAUUACUUUUCCAGCUUAUAAUUUGGACGUUGGUUUCGUUGCAUUACGCCCUUGUUCACAGAAGCAUGUUAAAAAUAAAGAUAAUAUUACAUAUUACUAUUUUGAACAUGAAGGAGAUCAAGUAUAUGUAUAAAGUGAAGGUAAGCUACUGAAAAGCCGCUCACACAUAGGAGCAGCACAAGUCUUAGCCGUUCUGCUUGCUGGACGCAUCAGGACGUAAUGCCUCCUAUAGGAGGAGUUUUUACAAUUCUAUGAUUUCUGUGCCAAAGGGAGGCCAAAGGAAAACCAGGCAUCCUUGCUGAACCCCACCACUGCUUCCCGCAAUGGUUUCCACCGUUCAGCAAGAUGCCAGGCUUUACCUUAUGUCCUUGGGAAAUUAUUGCUCUUGGCAGCUUUGUCUGUAUCCUAAAUGGCACUGGAUGUUGUUGAACCAACGUAGGUUGCCAGCCAAGAAGAGAUCUCCCCCAGUGGGAAUGAGCAGCUUGGGAGGGAGCAGGAGGGGACUGAGUGCUCACUGCAGUGCUGAGCCCCCUUCAGCUCCACUCUGCCACAGGACUGUGCAUCUAACGUGGAAAUGAUCACUCCUUUCACAAGAUAUUACAUAUCAAUGCAAUGAAAACUAGAGAUUAUUUUUUUUCUGUAUGCACAGAAAUCACAGAAUCAUAAAGUUGUUUUAGUUGGAAGGAACCCUUAAAGGUCCAUUAGUCCCACUCCCCUGCAAUGAACAGGGACACCUAUGAUCCAUCAGGCACCCAGAGCCCCAUCCAUCCUCAGCUUGGGUGGAUGCCCCAACCGAGGACAUGGCAUCCAUCACCUCUCUGCCUCCCCCACACCAUGAAUUUUCAAUACCCAGCUCACAAUUUCCUGCACCUUGAGAACCAGCUGACUGCAAGAGCUACCCAGCAUUGUAUCCCCACGGAAAUACACUUUGCCUAGUUAAAAAGGUGAUUUUCAGGUUAUUUCAAUUCCCAUCGCUUAGGACUGUGUUUGCAGCGUGCUGUCAGUUGGUACUGUCGGAAAACCUGAUCUGCUCCUCACUUUGGUCUCCAGUAGCAACACGGGUUUCUCCCUUAUGAUAUCCUGACAGAAGCCCUAAAAGCUUAUCUAUCGUUUUAAAUGAAAAUCUGCUAGGUGUGACAAUACUUACAGCUAUGGCAGUAGCACAGAUGCUGAAAUCUUCGAAGACCUGACUUCUUUUUCAGGAGGAGAAUAACAGAAAUCAUCAAGUUUGUCUAAAAGGCAGCCGUUCCGUGCUCGGGAAUGGAAAAUGCUCUGCCCCUCAUUUGCAAUAACCAGUGACUCAGCAGCUUGGGCUGCCUGUGCCAGGGCGAUGGGCUCAGAUCUCCCAUCACUGAUCCUCCCCCUCUGCAUCUCUUUCCCCAGGGUUGCGCCACGAUCAGUGUGCAUUAAUUCUGUACCAACGUGGAGAUUUGCCCUGUGCACAUCUUCAUGCCUGUGAGUGAUGCAGGUUACUUGCCAGCUUUCUCAGAGCCUGGAUGUUGGCCUUUAAAGGAAAGUGUGUUUCAUAGGAACUGUGUAUGGAAGGGCCAGGAGAGCAGCUGAGGCUCUUCCUAACUCUGCUUCCCUCUCACAGAAUGGAACAUCAUUAAGCCCGCCAGUGAAAGGAUGAUCCUGCUGACAGUAUUUAGCUUAUCAGGAAAAUAAUUUAGAGUGUUGGAAAAAAAAAACUGUAUUUUAAACUAAUUCCCAAAUUCAGCAAUACUUGAAUUAAAGGUUCUGUGCUAUUUUUUCGUAUUGAUAUUAUCUUGGAGCUGGGAGGCUAUUACUGGAAUUCCACUCUCUAAUACGGCCAUUCAAUGAUUUUGGCUUUGUGUACUACUUAUGACCUUUUUAAUAUUCUGUCAUUUGACUGCCUGCCUGUUCUCAUUCUUUUUGCUAUUUACAGUUUUACAGCCCCGUGGGGAAGGAAUAACCACACUGACUGUUAAUGAAAAUGCAGGUGGCUGAAAUGAGCAAAAUGGUUUCUGCAACUGCUACAGCACAGCGUACUCCCAGUGCUGAGCAAGAGCUGCAGCCUCGCUGCGAUGGCAGUGCUCAGCCCUCCUCCCACUGAAGGUGCUGUGUUGUUUUGCCGUUAUCUCAUUGAUAUGCAGAGCAGAAACAGCAUUAAGUAGCUGUUCCAGCAAAAAUUCUAACGUGAUCCUCAGAAAUUGCAAAGGAAAUGCGAAAUUAUGAGUGCAUGUUGCAGAUUUUUAUUAUAAUCACAGGUUUUCUUACAGCAAUGUAGAGUACAAAUAAUAAGGAAUGAAGACUUAAGGUGAGAACUUAAGUAAGAACAAGAAUCUCUGCAAAGAAAAAACAGGCUCAAGGAGAGACAUUUGUGCUCCUGGUCAGCAAAAUCAGGCUCGAAAGGAUACGCUGGACUUUCACUGCAACUUCUUUGUUGUGCCAGAGCAAUACAGAACUCAGCAGGAGAGAAAAGCAGCAGACUUUUGGUGUGUCUCUCACAUGAUCAUGACUGCACUGAGAUGGCUGUAAGCUGUCUGGAGCUGAAGCAGCCUCCAGGCUGCUAAGGGUGAAGGUCUUCUUGAGCAGCCACAGGGACUCCACGGCACUGAGACUGCAAAGCACCAGGAGCACCUCGCCCUGCUGCCAUGGGCUGGUGCUGCAGCUGGAGGUUCUGCCCUAUUUUGAGAAGUUUAUUUCAGGAGAACCAAAUGUUGCCAGGAUUUGGGGGAAGGUAUGUUAUUGGUAGCAUUGUAUACACAGCUCAAAUCCAGGCGAUGGAUUUCGAGCAGAGAAUUAGUAGUGUGUAUAAUAACAGACAAUUAUAAAUUUAUGAAGCUAAGGUUUAUGAAGAAACUCCUUCAAGCCUGUCAGAAUGAAAGAGGGCAGAUACUUACGCACUUAAGG